UCAUCUCUUGCUGAUUGUCUGAAUCAUUCCCGCACAUGUUAAUUGAGAUCUCUUCCUACAUGGAUGAGGGCCCGGAGCUAAUGACUCAACAAAUUAUUUGAAUGAUUUACAAAAAAAUAUUUCAUGAAUGCUUCCACUUCUAAUUCUAGUAAUUUAUAAUUUAGGGUGAUGAUCUAGUAAUUAAUGAGACAGCCCCAUAUAUUUCACGGGACAUUAUGCUUUCAUGCACAAAAUCUAGAUCAUCCUCCUUGUCUGAAUUGAUAUAGCUCUUGCAACUCACCCUUUGUCCUCUACCGAUUCCUGUCAAUCUGUCAAAUGAUUAUCCUUCGGAGAACUGUGCCGCUUUUUGAGAAACUUCUACUCAGAUCAUACGAUCUGUUCGAAAUAAACAGUGGCGGAAUUGGCUGGUAGCCCGUUGGAUCAACAGCCGAGGCCCAGCGAAUCCAUCCAAGGGAGUUCAGAGGGAAGGGCGGCGACGGCUGUAAGUGGGGGCCGGCGGCUCCUGUCGAUGAGAUUGAAGGGGAGAAGACGACGGCAAAAAUCCCGCUUAGGAUUCCCACCGGCGGCGCGUUCGGUGGCCUGUCAAAUAACGGCCGGUAAGCGCCGGGGAAAUCCGGCCACCGGCGCAGGCGCCGGGGAAGAGGAUACGCCGACGGGAAC
RNAcentral lists this long non-coding RNA (660 nucleotides) under Spirodela polyrhiza (greater duckweed). Its description in RNAcentral is "long non-coding RNA (SPOL_LNC001277)". The record is from RNAcentral. Lineage: Eukaryota; Viridiplantae; Streptophyta; Magnoliopsida; Alismatales; Araceae.